AAAUGAUGUUACACUUGUCAAGAAAAUAACAUUACUUUUUCAAGGUGCAGGAAUCUAAUAUCUGUUCAAAAAAAUAAAAAUGAUGGCAUUGAUCAAGACAUCCUUAAAAAAUGGAGUUAUCUUCCUUUGUCUAGAAUUGCUGUUAAAUCAACUACCAAUAAUGCAAUAUUUAAGUUUUCUCCCACUGAUAAAUGAAAGCAAUCUUAAACCUUGGUCCUUACAAGCACUUUCAUUAAGGUCUUUCCAUAGACCUCAUCAGGAGGUAUAACCUGAUCAGGAGACUUUGAAGGAUUUCAUCACCCC
Molecule: long non-coding RNA, 303 nt
Filed under: Mytilus galloprovincialis (Mediterranean mussel)
Lineage: Eukaryota; Metazoa; Mollusca; Bivalvia; Mytilida; Mytilidae
Source: RNAcentral